GGAGCUUGCUCCUCUGACGUUAGCGGCGGACGGGUGAGUAACACGUGGAUAACCUACCUAUAAGACUGGGAUAACUUCGGGAAACCGGAGCUAAUACCGGAUAAUAUAUUGAACCGCAUGGUUCAAUAGUGAAAGACGGUUUUGCUGUCACUUAUAGAUGGAUCCGCGCCGCAUUAGCUAGUUGGUAAGGUAACGGCUUACCAAGGCAACGAUGCGUAGCCGACCUGAGAGGGUGAUCGGCCACACUGGAACUGAGACACGGUCCAGACUCCUACGGGAGGCAGCAGUAGGGAAUCUUCCGCAAUGGGCGAAAGCCUGACGGAGCAACGCCGCGUGAGUGAUGAAGGUCUUCGGAUCGUAAAACUCUGUUAUUAGGGAAGAACAAAUGUGUAAGUAACUAUGCACGUCUUGACGGUACCUAAUCAGAAAGCCACGGCUAACUACGUGCCAGCAGCCGCGGUAAUACGUAGGUGGCAAGCGUUAUCCGGAAUUAUUGGGCGUAAAGCGCGCGUAGGCGGUUUUUUAAGUCUGAUGUGAAAGCCCACGGCUCAACCGUGGAGGGUCAUUG
This 568-nucleotide ribosomal RNA is filed under the name Staphylococcus sp. B21 S2-4. RNAcentral describes it as "bacterial SSU rRNA". It matches the Rfam family "Bacterial small subunit ribosomal RNA", at positions 75 to 628 of the family's 1533-position model. Lineage: Bacteria; Bacillati; Bacillota; Bacilli; Caryophanales; Staphylococcaceae. The record is from RNAcentral.